Molecule: long non-coding RNA, 421 nt
Filed under: Bos taurus (domestic cattle)
Lineage: Eukaryota; Metazoa; Chordata; Mammalia; Artiodactyla; Bovidae
Description: long non-coding RNA NONBTAT011115
Source: RNAcentral
GAAUGAAUAGGAAGAGUUAACUAGAAGUUGUAUGAAGUAGAAAGCUGUCUUCUAAUGUGUUUUCUUAUCCUAGUUUGCUAUCCCUUAUUACUAUUUGUUUGAAAAAAUUCAAAAAUGGAUAUUGGCUACUUCCUUUUUUAAAAAGGUAAUAAUUUAAGUUUUCUAAUAAAAAAGGCUUGAAAACCUGAUUUCCAGAAUUUUUGAUCUUGAAAUUAUUUUACAGUUUUCUUGUAGAACUAAACCAUUAUUUUUACCAUUGACAUUAUUGUAUCUCAUUAUCUGCUAUUAAUGGAGACAGAUUUAUUUGAAAGUAGACACAGUAGAAAGAACUGUAUUUUGUUCAGUAGAGUCCUCAGAAAUUGCUAUAAAAAAAAUUUAAAGAAGCACUGUAGAGAUAAAUUCAUGGAGACAUCUGAAAAUU